RNAcentral lists this transfer RNA (82 nucleotides) under Cryptomonas paramaecium. RNAcentral describes it as "Cryptomonas paramecium tRNA-Tyr". It matches the Rfam family "tRNA". From Rfam's summary of the family: Transfer RNA (tRNA) molecules are approximately 80 nucleotides in length. Their secondary structure includes four short double-helical elements and three loops (D, anti-codon, and T loops). The record is from RNAcentral. Lineage: Eukaryota; Cryptophyceae; Cryptomonadales; Cryptomonadaceae.
CCAGCUUUAGCUCAGUGGUAGAGCAUCUGACUGUAAAAAAGAAAAAAUCAGAGUGUCGCUGGUUCAAGUCUAGCAAGCUGGA